This 1456-nucleotide long non-coding RNA is filed under the name Homo sapiens (human). RNAcentral's name for it is "HSALNT0365712". The record is from RNAcentral. Lineage: Eukaryota; Metazoa; Chordata; Mammalia; Primates; Hominidae.
CCAGGCUCAGCAGGAAGAGGAAUGUGCAUCCGACCUUGUGCGGAAGUUUGUCUCCAUGAGGUCAUACAGCUGCUUGAGGUUGCUCGGAGAGUAAGAAGCAGAAUGAGAACUAGAACAGAAGCUCACUUUGGCCUGAAGGCUCAUGUGCUGAGCAUCUUCCCUUGUCUGUCUCCACCCCUAGCCUGGUGCCCAGCAUGUAGAAGACCUUCAUCCUAGAUGCAAUGGGAUUAAACUUGGAGAAAAUGGGAUUAAACUUGGACAAACACUACCUAUUUGGACUUGUGAUGAUGGCUUUCAAACUUCUUAAAGCAAUGAAGUAUUUUUUCCAGAAGAAACCUUACACAAGAAGCCCAGCACACUGAGUCAAGCAUAUGUAGGUGGAAGAUAUCUGGUUGAGACCAAGUAGAGAUAAACCUGUAGAUUCAACUGUGCCACCACAGUGAAUUCUAAGAAUCCACUGACUGUGAUCUGUAAGCUCCUACUCCACAGGAGGUCAGGGCACACAGCUUGAAACCGGAAGGCAGAAGAGUGACAGGGAAGGGUCAUGGACUCUGAAAUUAGAGCUAUCUGUGUUUUAAUACUAGUUCCAAUAGGCACAUGGUCUUGGAUAAAUGGUUUAAAUUAUCUGAGUCUCAAUUUCUUUCUCUGCAAAAAGGGAUGAUUAGUACAUAUGUAAUAGGGUUUUUAUAGAAAAUUGUAUAACUUGUUAAACACACAUGUACUAAGUGCUUGGUGCCCAGUAUGCACUGAAUAAAUGCUAGCUCCUUGCCUUUCAUCUCUAUGACCCUUCCCAAAUCUCUCAGCCCCAUAUUGCUUCAUGUAGUGUGUGUAUAUUUGGGAAAAUUUGUGUGCAUAUUUACAGAUGGGAUCCUACUCUUCUAUUGACAGACUGUCUUUUCAGAUGUGCCUUACUUUCAUUGCAUUGGUUUUUCAACUGAAAGUGAACAUAAAGGUUUUAAGCAUGCCUAGGUCUUAUCUUUUUGGUCAAAUAUCUAACACCCUCAAUAACAGUUGUAAAUCAUUCUUUUGUAAUUUGAUCAUUCAUUUUUAUAAAGUAAAACACAACUGCCCACUGUAAAAAUAGACUUCAUUUGCUCUUUUCUUCCAGUGCAGCAAAUGACAGACACUUUAAGAACACACAUUUAACUUCAGCAAACAAAUCAUGUAUAUUUUAGACAUAACUGUCAAGUAUAGAAAUGAUACCAUCCAACUUACCAAACUAUCACAUAAGAAUGCCCAAUAGCAGACAUUAGGAUGGGGCAAAACUGAAAGAAGGAUUGACUUCAUCAAACCCUUGAUGACAUACAAAAUGGAAACCAUUCAAGUUCAACUGAAGAAAACGAUAUCCCACAAGAUCUAGGGGUAAAAAGCAGACAAAGUUUAGGAAUGAAUUUAAACUACUGACUUACGUGUUGUCAGGAGUCUAUUUCUAUUCCUCAAUUUUACUCCUUUUUGU